UCCGUAUGCAUCGUUCUGAUGCAGAGGCCGGGGAGUCCCCCCUUUUCGAAAAAAAAACAGGAUUGAAUCCGUUGUCAGUAAAGAAAAUGUUGGCUCAGAUGUUAUGUGCACAACCUGUGUGAGAUGGUUGUUGUGUGGAUAGAGAAUCAGUUCCAUGAAAACAAAUAAAGGAGCGGAUAUUGCAAUAGGUUAACCAGCUGUGUGAGCGUUUACGGAGCGCGAACAGGGAGUCAACAGUCAGCUGCUGUCAUAUCUCAAAAAUGCGGGUUCGUUUUUCGUUGCUUACAGCGAGAGCGGUCGUGGUGGACAGGAACGACCACCACGGAUCCCUCGCCCCAAGUCAUGAUCCAGUUGUUGAAUGUUCACAAGAAAAUUUAUGUGGAUUGGAGAUUGACUGAUUGUUUGGUUGUCCGCAGAUUCAAAGAUGAAGUACAUAGUAAAGGUAGGGGCAAGGGGCAUCAGACGUGCUAAUUUUUCUGAACUCUACAAUGGAACCUGUGUUUCUGAAUUUCUGUCAAAGUGUCAACUCUGGAUCAUACAUAGUAGUGCUUUUUUGAUAGUAGGUGGUCUGAAUUUCUGUCAAUGGUCUGAAUUUCUCAAAGUGACUACUCUGGAUCGUACAUAGUAGUGCUCUUUUGAUAAUUGAUAGUAGGUGGCCGAAGUGUCAAACGCUGGAACAAGCACGAUCCAGAGUUUUGAGUUUUGAGUUUGCCCCACCUUAAGUUUUUUCCAUCCUCCACCACGACCGGACGCCCUCUCCAUCUAAAUCAUGCCUCUCUAAACGUACUGUCAUGUAUCAAGCUCCUACCUGACCGAUGGGACAUACGGUGGUCGUGCUCCAACCCAUUUAAUCUCAGGUCUGAUCUAUGUUCAGCUCCUUAUACAUAUAGUACUUGGUUAUACAAACAUGGAACUGAUGGAUAUGUUCGAUUAAUGGAUGCAUAAUUAGACACCUGAUGAUGAAGAGAUGGAAUUAAUGGAUGCGUACAUAUAUGAUUGGACCCUUGAUAAGCUUAGGUGGAUAUAUGGUUUACUGCAUUCUCAGUAGGUUGAUAAUUACUGUAUAUGAAAACAAAAUUGCUCAUUCUUGUUUUGUCGGAUAUUCGCACAAGGCCGCGCCGGCAAGAUAAUUAGUUACUUUUUUAUAAAACCCACAGGUAAUCUAUAUAUUUGCAGGUGAUUCAGAUGAGCGUCUCCCACAAGGUGUGAGUAUUCUAUUUUCUGAAGAACCAAGCAGGAGCUCUGCCGAAAUACUAUUAAAACAAGGGAAUGGAGUACAUACUAUGUAGAAUUAUAACAUGGACAUGCUCAGCAAUCCAAAUCUUAUUACAUAGAUUUUUUUUAAGUUUGUAAUAUAGCAGCUCCUAUAAGUAUCAAGUGUAGAUGGAAUUCCUACUGACUUACAU
Triticum dicoccoides is the source of this 1406-nucleotide long non-coding RNA. RefSeq lists it as uncharacterized. The transcript has 3 exons. NCBI's taxonomy places the organism in Eukaryota, Viridiplantae, Streptophyta, Magnoliopsida, Poales, Poaceae. The record is from RefSeq and is a predicted model, not a curated record.